Molecule: long non-coding RNA, 734 nt
Filed under: Apteryx rowi (Okarito brown kiwi)
Lineage: Eukaryota; Metazoa; Chordata; Aves; Apterygiformes; Apterygidae
Description: lncRNA (ENSARWG00000004482.1)
Source: RNAcentral
UUUGUGCUUGUAGGUGUGGAGGAAUGUGGAGAGUGGGUUGUUCACAUGUGGGAGGAGCACGGCAAGGUGAGUGUCGGUCUGAGAGCGGWAGCAGAGCCUAGCAUAGGGCUGUUGUCUCAUUGGUGCUGUCCCCAUUGCCCACUGCUGUUCUGGUUUUACAGGUGCAUGACAGGCCUCGGUGUGGUGGCUGGUUGCAUGGCAGUUGGGAUGGGCGAGCAGAACAGGUGAAGGUGUGGGAGGAAAUGGUUGAUGUGGGUGGGCUGUGGUUUUGCAGGUGUGACCCRAGCGCUUGCUUUCUGUUUGUGUUUGCAAGUUUUGCAGGAAGUUGUGGAGAGGCAAAGUUGAGCAUUGACAAGAGCCUGAGCAGGUCCUGUGUGGGCCUUUCCCAGGCAUGGCUGAGAAUGUCAGGUGAUGAAGGUGAAUGUGGUGACCGGAGGAAGAUCAGAGAGGAUGCGGCUGCCAUUGAGGAUGCGUCUUGAAGACAAAUGGUGACCCAGAGCACUGUAGAAGCUAAGUUGAGAGGCCAUGGGUGUCGGUGUGUCUUGACUGUGUGUGUGUGUGUGUGUGUGUGUGUGUGUGUGUGUGUGUGUGCGCGCGUGCACAUGUGUGCUGACAGUGAGUGUAGUGUGGAGGGCUCUUGUGGAUGAGUGCUGUGUGUGAGGCAGAGGCGGUGGGGUGUGCCUGGCAGAAGGUGAGUGUGUGCUAGGCAGGGCAGCUCCAGCCUGUGUCUGUGU